Trichuris trichiura (human whipworm) is the source of this 43-nucleotide non-coding RNA. NCBI's taxonomy places the organism in Eukaryota, Metazoa, Nematoda, Enoplea, Trichinellida, Trichuridae. The record is from Rfam.
AAAAGCGUGCAAAUUCAAUACAUUGCAUGGGCCAUGUAGGCCU